This 528-nucleotide small RNA is filed under the name Pongo abelii (Sumatran orangutan). RNAcentral describes it as "retained intron". The record is from RNAcentral. Lineage: Eukaryota; Metazoa; Chordata; Mammalia; Primates; Hominidae.
AGCGGAAGGAAGAGGCAGGGCCCAGCAUGGAGAAACCCCGUUCUAGCAGGACCUCCAGGGGCCAGUGUCCCCAGAAAGGGGAGGGGUCCAUGUGUCACCUUGCUCUUAGCCUCCACAGAGACCCUGACCCCCACCCCCGAGCGGAAUGAGGGUGUCUACGCAGCCAUCGCAGUGCAGGAGAUGCAGGGAAACCCGGCCUCGCCAGCCCAGGAGUACAGGGCGCUCUACGAUUAUACAGCGCAGAACCCAGAUGAGCUGGACCUCUCCGCGGGAGACAUCCUGGAGGUGAUCCUGGAAGGGGAGGAUGGCUGGUGGACUGUGGAGAGGAACGGGCAGCGUGGCUUCGUCCCUGGUUCCUACCUGGAGAAGCUUUGAGGAAAGGCCAGGAGCCCCUUCAAACCUGCCCUGCCAGUGGAGCCAGCAGUGCCCCCAGCACUGUCCCUGCCUUGCUGGGGCCCAGAACCAAGCGUCCCCCAGCCCUGAGAGGGAGCCUGUCUCCCAGGGAAUAAAGGAGUGCGUUCUGUUCUC